UUCCGGUUGAUCCUGCCGGACCUGACUGCUAUCGGAUUGAUACUAAGCCAUGCGAGUCUUUGCAGUAAUGCAAGGCAUACGGCUCAGUAACACGUAGUCAACUUACCCUAUGGACGAGGAUAAUCUCGGGAAACUGAGCAUAAUACUCGAUAGAUCAUAAUGCCUGGAAUGGUUUAUGGUUGAAAUGAUUCGUCGCCAUAGGAUGGGACUGCGGCCUAUCAGCUUGUUGGUGAGGUAAUGGCCCACCAAGGCGAUUACAGGUACGGGCUCUGAGAGGAGAAGCCCGGAGAUGGGUACUGAGACACGGACCCAGGCCCUAUGGGGCGCAGCAGGCGAGAAAACUUUGCAAUGUGCGAAAGCACGACAAGGUUAAUCCGAGUGAUUUCUGCUAAAGAAAUCUUUUGCAAGUCAUAAAACCACUAGUGAAUAAGGGGUGGGCAAGUUCUGGUGUCAGCCGCCGCGGUAAAACCAGCACCUCAAGUGGUCAGGAGGAUUAUUGGGCCUAAAGCAUCCGUAGCCGGCUCUGUAAGUUUUCGGUUAAAUCCAUGUGCUCAACGCAUGGGCUGCCGAAAAUACUGCAUAGCUAGGGAGUGGGAGAGGUAGACGGUACUCAGUAGGAAGGGGUAAAAUCCUUUGAUCUAUUGAUGACCACCUGUGGCGAAGGCGGUCUACCAGAACACGUUCGACGGUGAGGGAUGAAAGCUGGGGGAGCAAACCGGAUUAGAUACCCGGGUAGUCCCAGCUGUAAACGAUGCAGACUCGAUGAUGCAUUGGCAUAUAGCCAGUGCAGUGUCGCAGGGAAGCCGUUAAGUCUGCCGCCUGGGAAGUACGUACGCAAGUAUGAAACUUAAAGGAAUUGGCGGGGGAGCACCACAAGGGGUGAAGCCUGCGGUUCAAUUGGAGUCAACGCCGGG
RNAcentral lists this ribosomal RNA (914 nucleotides) under uncultured marine archaeon. RNAcentral describes it as "bacterial SSU rRNA". It matches the Rfam family "Archaeal small subunit ribosomal RNA", at positions 1 to 922 of the family's 1478-position model. The record is from RNAcentral.